AAGAAUGCAAGAGAGACCAAAGAGACAAAAACAGACGAAAAAGGAGAAACACGGUUAAAGAAGGAAUGGAGGAAAAAUAAAAGAGAAGGGGCUCCAAAGAGAGAUUUGGGCCUAGUUUAUGGGAAAGAUAAUAAAAAAGAGGAGAGAGAGAGAGAGUUGCCUAGUGAGAGAGAGAUUUAUGUUUUUGUUGUCAUGGUUUAGAG
Molecule: long non-coding RNA, 203 nt
Filed under: Amborella trichopoda
Lineage: Eukaryota; Viridiplantae; Streptophyta; Magnoliopsida; Amborellales; Amborellaceae
Description: long non-coding RNA (ATRI_LNC004826)
Source: RNAcentral